RNAcentral lists this ribosomal RNA (498 nucleotides) under uncultured bacterium. RNAcentral describes it as "partial 16S ribosomal RNA". It matches the Rfam family "Bacterial small subunit ribosomal RNA", at positions 27 to 507 of the family's 1533-position model. The record is from RNAcentral.
GGAUGAACGCUGGCGGCGUGCCUAAUACAUGCAAGUCGAGCGAACGGACGAGAAGCUUGCUUCUCUGAUGUUCGCGGCGGACGGGUGAGUAACACGUGGAUAACCUACCUAUAAGACUGGGAUAACUUCGGGAAACCGGAGCUAAUACCGGAUGAUAUUUUGGACCGCAUGGUUCAAAAGUGAAAGACGGUCUUGCUGUCACUUAUAGAUGGAUCCGCGCUGCAUUAGCUAGUUGGUAAGGUAACGGCUUACCAAGGCAACGAUGCAUAGCCGACCUGAGAGGGUGAUCGGCCACACUGGAACUGAGACACGGUCCAGACUCCUACGGGAGGCAGCAGUAGGGAAUCUUCCGCAAUGGGCGAAAGCCUGACGGAGCAACGCCGCGUGAGUGAUGAAGGUCUUCGGAUCGUAAAACUCUGUUAUUAGGGAAGAACAUAUGUGUAAGUAACUGUGCACAUCUUGACGGUACCUAAUCAGAAAGCCACGGCUAACUACGUG